GGGCCCGCACAAGCAGCGGAGCAUGUGGUUUAAUUCGAAGCAACGCGAAGAACCUUACCAGGUCUUGACAUCCAAUUAAAGCUAUUGAAAGAUAGUGUGUUUUCGGACAAAUUGAGACAGGUGGUGCAUGGUUGUCGUCAGCUCGUGUCGUGAGAUGUUGGGUUAAGUCCCGCAACGAGCGCAACCCUUGCUGUCAGUUAACAGCGGAUAAAGCCGGUGACUCUGACAGGACUGCCGGGGAUAACUCGGAGGAAGGUGGGGACGACGUCAAAUCAUCAUGCCCCUUAUGACCUGGGCUACACACGUGCUACAAUGGCCGAUACAGAGGGCAGCGAUAGGGUAACCUGGAGCGAAUCUCAGAAAAUCGGUCCCAGUUCGGAUUGUGGGCUGCAACCCGCCCACAUGAAGUUGGAGUUGCUAGUAAUCGCGAAUCAGAACGUCGCGGUGAAUGCGUUCCCGGGCCUU
Molecule: ribosomal RNA, 465 nt
Filed under: uncultured bacterium
Lineage: Bacteria
Description: bacterial SSU rRNA
Rfam family: Bacterial small subunit ribosomal RNA
Source: RNAcentral